Molecule: unclassified non-coding RNA, 18 nt
Filed under: Mus musculus (house mouse)
Lineage: Eukaryota; Metazoa; Chordata; Mammalia; Rodentia; Muridae
Description: oocyte_clustered_small_RNA7078
Source: RNAcentral
GAUUGAACUACAGCUGCG